RNAcentral lists this ribosomal RNA (723 nucleotides) under uncultured bacterium. RNAcentral's name for it is "bacterial SSU rRNA". It matches the Rfam family "Bacterial small subunit ribosomal RNA", at positions 109 to 830 of the family's 1533-position model. The record is from RNAcentral.
CGUAACGCGUAUGCAACCUACCUUUUACAGGGGGAUAGCCCAGAGAAAUUUGGAUUAAUACCCCAUGGUAUAUUUGAGUGGCAUCACUUGAUUAUUAAAGUUCCAACGGUAAAAGAUGGGCAUGCGUCCUAUUAGCUAGAUGGUAAGGUAACGGCUUACCAUGGCUACGAUAGGUAGGGGUCCUGAGAGGGAGAUCCCCCACACUGGUACUGAGACACGGACCAGACUCCUACGGGAGGCAGCAGUGAGGAAUAUUGGACAAUGGGCGCAAGCCUGAUCCAGCCAUGCCGCGUGCAGGAAGACGGUCCUAUGGAUUGUAAACUGCUUUUGUACGGGAAGAAACACUCCUACGUGUAGGGGCUUGACGGUACCGUAAGAAUAAGGAUCGGCUAACUCCGUGCCAGCAGCCGCGGUAAUACGGAGGAUCCAAGCGUUAUCCGGAAUCAUUGGGUUUAAAGGGUCCGUAGGCGGUUUGGUAAGUCAGUGGUGAAAGCCCAUCGCUCAACGAUGGAACGGCCAUUGAUACUGCCAGACUUGAAUUACUGGGAAGUAACUAGAAUAUGUAGCGUAGCGGUGAAAUGCUUAGAUAUUACAUGGAAUACCAAUUGCGAAGGCAGGUUACUACCAGUGGAUUGACGCUGAUGGACGAAAGCGUGGGGAGCGAACAGGAUUAGAUACCCUGGUAGUCCACGCCGUAAACGAUGGAUACUAGCUGUUCGGGGC